AUGAACGCUGGCGGCGUGCCUAAUACAUGCAAGUCGAGCGAACAGACGAGGAGCUUGCUCCUCUGACGUUAGCGGCGGACGGGUGAGUAAUACGUGGAUAACCUACCUAUAAGACUGGGAUAACUUCGGGAAACCGGAGCUAAUACCGGAUAAUAUAUUGAACCGCAUGGUUCAAUAGUGAAAGACGGUUUUGCUGUCACUUAUAGAUGGAUCCGCGCCGCAUUAGCUAGUUGGUAAGGUAACGGCUUACCAAGGCAACGAUGCGUAGCCGACCUGAGAGGGUGAUCGGCCACACUGGAACUGAGACACGGUCCAGACUCCUACGGGAGGCAGCAGUAGGGAAUCUUCCGCAAUGGGCGAAAGCCUGACGGAGCAACGCCGCGUGAGUGAUGAAGGUCUUCGGAUCGUAAAACUCUGUUAUUAGGGAAGAACAAAUGUGUAAGUAACUAUGCACGUCUUGACGGUACCUAAUCAGAAAGCCACGGCUAACUACGUG
This 496-nucleotide ribosomal RNA is filed under the name uncultured bacterium. RNAcentral describes it as "partial 16S ribosomal RNA". It matches the Rfam family "Bacterial small subunit ribosomal RNA", at positions 29 to 507 of the family's 1533-position model. The record is from RNAcentral.